ACACCAGUAUUUUUGUAUGCAUUUUCUCUCCUACACCCCUCACUGAAAAGUGAAAGACAUAACAUAUUCAAAUGGCAUAUUAUGACAACUUUAUUUCAAAACUGGCCAAUAUGUUUUAAUAUACAAUGUUAUAUGGUUUAAAUUCAAGACCAAUACAAUUACAAUGAUAUUAAUUUAAAAGUACUAAAAUGUAUCAUGCAAAAUUUCAAACAAUAAUGAAGUUAAAACACACAAUUCAUACAUAAACAUGCCAAGCUGAUGAAACUACGCCAAUAUUAAAUAUAACAAUCUCUAGGGGUAUAUGAAUGAUGGUUGUUGUGCCAAUGUGAUCAUCUCCUGUUUAUUGAAACGCAUUUCAUUUGUUGGACCUAAAAAUUUGGAGAGUCAAAUGUUGUGCAAGAAAACCAUCCUCGAAUACUUACCAACAAACAAAUCUAUCAGGUAAAUUGCAUGUGAAAAACACAAUAGUGAGCCAUGUCUGUUAUGUAUCCACUUGUUUUUGACUUGCCUCUGUGAAAAACUGUGUAAUUAACCAAAACCGUUUUCUAUUUGCAGUUCCCACUAAUGACAUUUUUACUUCGAAUGUUACGAAAAUAAUAUUAUGUUUAGAAACAGUAAAAAUUGAUCCGUAUUAUUAGUGAAACGAUGAAUAUUAUUUACUUUCAUCUUGUGAUAACGACCACAGCGUAUGACGUUGAUAACGAAGUUUCUCCUAGGUCCU
This is a long non-coding RNA of Melanaphis sacchari, 721 nucleotides long. RefSeq lists it as uncharacterized. The record is from RefSeq and is a predicted model, not a curated record. Lineage: Eukaryota; Metazoa; Arthropoda; Insecta; Hemiptera; Aphididae. The transcript has 4 exons.